RNAcentral lists this transfer RNA (61 nucleotides) under Streptomyces fenghuangensis. RNAcentral describes it as "tRNA-Ser". Lineage: Bacteria; Bacillati; Actinomycetota; Actinomycetes; Kitasatosporales; Streptomycetaceae. RNAcentral also lists the same sequence under 4 other names. The record is from RNAcentral.
GCAGGCGGGUGGUACUUCUCCUCUCAAGAGAAAGACGCGGGUUCGAAUCCCGCCGCCGGCC